RNAcentral lists this ribosomal RNA (458 nucleotides) under uncultured bacterium. Its description in RNAcentral is "partial 16S ribosomal RNA". It matches the Rfam family "Bacterial small subunit ribosomal RNA", at positions 338 to 795 of the family's 1533-position model. The record is from RNAcentral.
CCUACGGGUGACAGCAGUGAGGAAUAUUGGUCAAUGGGCGAGAGCCUGAACCAGCCAAGUCGCGUGAGGGAGUACUGCCCUAUGGGUUGUAAACCUCUUUUGUCGGGGAGCAAAAGCCGGACGUGUCCGGCUGUGAGAGUACCCGAAGAAAAAGCAUCGGCUAACUCCGUGCCAGCAGCCGCGGUAAUACGGAGGAUGCGAGCGUUAUCCGGAUUUAUUGGGUUUAAAGGGUGCGCAGGCGGAUUUUUAAGUCAGCGGUAAAAUCGUGGGGCUCAACCCCAUCCAGCCGUUGAAACUGGGGAUCUAGAGUGUGCGAGAGGUAUGCGGAAUGCGCGGUGUAGCGGUGAAAUGCAUAGAUAUCACGCAGAACCCCGAUUGCGAAGGCAGCAUACCGGUGCACAACUGACGCUCAGGCACGAAAGCGUGGGUAUCGAACAGGAUUAGAUACCCCUGUAGUC